RNAcentral lists this ribosomal RNA (541 nucleotides) under Coniochaeta sp. 2 JN-2018. RNAcentral describes it as "eukaryotic LSU rRNA". It matches the Rfam family "Eukaryotic large subunit ribosomal RNA", at positions 19 to 572 of the family's 3401-position model. The record is from RNAcentral. Lineage: Eukaryota; Fungi; Ascomycota; Sordariomycetes; Coniochaetales; Coniochaetaceae.
GAAUACCCGCUGAACUUAAGCAUAUCAAUAAGCGGAGGAAAAGAAACCAACAGGGAUUGCCCUAGUAACGGCGAGUGAAGCGGCAACAGCUCAAAUUUGAAAUCUGGCUUCGGCCCGAGUUGUAAUUUGUAGAGGAUGCUUUUGGUGAGGUGCCUUCUGAGUUCCCUGGAACGGGACGCCAGAGAGGGUGAGAGCCCCGUAUAGUCGGCCACCGAUCCUUUGUAAAGCUCCUUCGACGAGUCGAGUAGUUUGGGAAUGCUGCUCAAAAUGGGAGGUAUAUCUCUUCUAAAGCUAAAUAUAGGCCAGAGACCGAUAGCGCACAAGUAGAGUGAUCGAAAGAUGAAAAGCACUUUGAAAAGAGGGUUAAAUAGCACGUGAAAUUGUUGAAAGGGAAGCGCUUGUGACCAGACUUGUGCCGGGCUGAUCAUCCAGUGUUCUCACUGGUGCACUCGACCCGGCUCAGGCCAGCGUCGGUUUUCGCGGGGGGAUAAAAGCUUCGGGAACGUGGSMACUUCGGGUGUGUUAUAGCCCGUUGCUUAAU